RNAcentral lists this ribosomal RNA (855 nucleotides) under Flavobacteriales bacterium Control.3. RNAcentral describes it as "bacterial SSU rRNA". It matches the Rfam family "Bacterial small subunit ribosomal RNA", at positions 39 to 904 of the family's 1533-position model. The record is from RNAcentral. Lineage: Bacteria; Pseudomonadati; Bacteroidota; Flavobacteriia; Flavobacteriales.
GAGGCGCAGCUACCAUGCAGUCGAGGGGUAUAAGUCUUCGGAUUUAGAGACCGGCGCACGGGUGCGUAACGCGUAUGCAAUCUACCUUUUACAGAGGGAUAGCCCAGAGAAAUUUGGAUUAAUACCUCAUAGUAUGCAGAGUUGGCAUCAGCACUGCAUUAAAGUCACAACGGUAAAAGAUGAGCAUGCGUCCCAUUAGCUAGUUGGUAAGGUAACGGCUUACCAAGGCUACGAUGGGUAGGGGUCCUGAGAGGGAGAUCCCCCACACUGGUACUGAGACACGGACCAGACUCCUACGGGAGGCAGCAGUGAGGAAUAUUGGACAAUGGGCGCAAGCCUGAUCCAGCCAUGCCGCGUGCAGGAUGACGGUCCUAUGGAUUGUAAACUGCUUUUGCACAGGAAGAAACAUCCCGACGUGUCGGGACUUGACGGUACUGUGAGAAUAAGGAUCGGCUAACUCCGUGCCAGCAGCCGCGGUAAUACGGAGGAUCCAAGCGUUAUCCGGAAUCAUUGGGUUUAAAGGGUCCGUAGGCGGUUUAGUAAGUCAGUGGUGAAAGCCCAUCGCUCAACGGUGGAACGGCCAUUGAUACUGCUAGACUUGAAUUAUUAGGAAGUAACUAGAAUAUGUAGUGUAGCGGUGAAAUGCUUAGAGAUUACAUGGAAUACCAAUUGCGAAGGCAGGUUACUACUAAUUGAUUGACGCUGAUGGACGAAAGCGUGGGUAGCGAACAGGAUUAGAUACCCUGGUAGUCCACGCCGUAAACGAUGGAUACUAGCUGUUGGGAGCGAUCUCAGUGGCUAAGCGAAAGUGAUAAGUAUCCCACCUGGGGAGUACGUUCGCAAGAAUGAACUCAG